UUUUCUCUGAGGGAGGCGUUAUUUUUUUGUUGUCGUUGUUAUGGAUUUUUCUUCAUAGUUUACAUUCUGGCAGUCAUUUAUCUAAUGACUUGUAUAUUUCAGGCUGUGGAAAAUACAGGAUAACAGAGCAAGAGAAAAAGUGGUGGUGAUUAAGCUAGACUCAUAGACAUUUAGUUUUUAAUUUUAAGAAAAAGCUUUCCCGUGACAAUGGAGUGCAUAGUUUCAAGAUGAAAUUCAGCCUAGGAAAGACCUAUGGACUGGCACAGAAAGUGUGAAAUACCACAUGAGCUCUGCUGAGAAGUCAGUACAGUUGUAAGAAGUCAAUGCAGAAUCAGCUGAUACCUGGGAGAAGAAAACCACAAACACAUUUCUCUCUGCAGAGCACUUCCAGCACACCUUAAGCCUGUGAACGACGCUGGCAUGGCAGCCCUGAUAGCGAUGGAGAGACUCCUGGUGUGCAUCAAUCAACCCAGAGAAGAGGGACCAAAAUAGCUGAUUACUGGAGACUGGCACAUCAGCAAGAAAAGUUUUCUUCUUGGAGAGAAAUACUGCAAAACAUCCGAGAGAAGAGGAGACAACAUGACCCAGGGAAUACUUUCCUUUCCCUGGCACAUACUUGAGGAUCAGAUCUCUCACAGUAGGUGCCUAUUGAGGACAGACACUUCACUCAACUCAGAACCCACAGCCUGGCAUGCUGGAUGAUUUUGAAAGAGUCUAGAAGGUUGGCAGUGGUAAGAAACUUUUGGAAAUGUUUAAUGCUCUGGUCCCAAAAGCUGCUUUCAGGUUACAGCUGAAUCAGCUGCCAUUUACAAGUGCAGAGUGGG
Long non-coding RNA from Motacilla alba alba, 824 nucleotides. RefSeq lists it as uncharacterized. Lineage: Eukaryota; Metazoa; Chordata; Aves; Passeriformes; Motacillidae. The record is from RefSeq and is a predicted model, not a curated record. The transcript is spliced from 5 exons.